UCUCUCUCUCUCUCUCUCUUUCUCUCUCUCUCUUAUAUGGCUUCUUUAUUUAGUUUUUUUUUUUAAAGACAGAGUGGGGGAGAGAGAGAGAGAGAGAGAGAGAGA
This 105-nucleotide microRNA precursor is filed under the name Marmota monax (woodchuck). The record is from RNAcentral. Lineage: Eukaryota; Metazoa; Chordata; Mammalia; Rodentia; Sciuridae.